CCCUACCCCAAAGAGACCUCACCAUGAGCCCCUACCCCACAGAGACCUCACCAUGAAGAGGUGAAGGAGUAGGAUUUCCUUUGAAGGAUCUUGAAGUCCUUGACAGAUGAGAAGAAUAUUGAAGCUGGCUAAGAAGGUCACAGCUGGAAGGCCUGAGCUGCUUUGCUGAGGGGUAGUGGGCCCUGCUGAACAAGACGGCAGUUAACUAUGGCUAACUGAAAACAAGAAAAGUGAAACCACAGGGGGAUGACCACACCUGACUCCCUUACCGAAGGACGCAGGCAUUGGUGUUGCUUGGAAAACGUUCUAUUACAAAUGCUCACAGACGGAAAGGUUGUCCUAGAC
Molecule: long non-coding RNA, 345 nt
Filed under: Homo sapiens (human)
Lineage: Eukaryota; Metazoa; Chordata; Mammalia; Primates; Hominidae
Description: HSALNT0346862
Source: RNAcentral